Small nuclear RNA from Mesocricetus auratus (golden hamster), 95 nucleotides. The record is from Ensembl. Lineage: Eukaryota; Metazoa; Chordata; Mammalia; Rodentia; Cricetidae.
GUGCUUGCUUCAGCAGAAUUUAUACUAAAAUUGGAAGAUUAGCAUGACCUCUGCACAAGGAUGAUAUACAAAUUCAUGAAAUGUUGACUAUUAAA